GAUGAACGCUGACAGCAUGCUUAACACAUGCAAGUCAACUUGAAUUUGGGUUUUUUAACUUAGAUUUGGGUGGCGGACGGGUGAGUAACGCGUAAAGAACUUGCCUCACAGCUAGGGACAACAUUUGGAAACGAAUGCUAAUACCUGAUAUUAUGAUUAUAAGGCAUCUUAGAAUUAUGAAAGCUAUAUGCGCUGUGAGAGAGCUUUGCGUCCCAUUAGCUAGUUGGAGAGGUAACGGCUCACCAAGGCGAUGAUGGGUAGCCGGCCUGAGAGGGUGAACGGCCACAAGGGGACUGAGACACGGCCCUUACUCCUACGGGAGGCAGCAGUGGGGAAUAUUGGACAAUGGACCAAGAGUCUGAUCCAGCAAUUCUGUGUGCACGAUGACGUUUUUCGGAAUGUAAAGUGCUUUCAGUUGGGAAGAAAAAAAUGACGGUACCAACAGAAGAAGUGACGGCUAAAUACGUG
This 468-nucleotide ribosomal RNA is filed under the name uncultured bacterium. Its description in RNAcentral is "partial 16S ribosomal RNA". It matches the Rfam family "Bacterial small subunit ribosomal RNA", at positions 28 to 507 of the family's 1533-position model. The record is from RNAcentral.